UAGAGCUAAUACAUGCCGACGGGCGCUGACCCCCCUCGCGGGGGGGAUGCGUGCAUUUAUCAGAUCAAAACCAACCCGGUCAGCUUCCCUCCGGGCGCCGGCGGCUUUGGUGACUCUACAUAACCUCGGGCCGAUCGCACGCCCCCCGUGGCGGCGACGACCCAUUCGAACGUCUGCCCUAUCAACUUUCGAUGGUAGUCGCCGUGCCUACCA
This 213-nucleotide ribosomal RNA is filed under the name Marmota monax (woodchuck). Its description in RNAcentral is "Eukaryotic small subunit ribosomal RNA". It matches the Rfam family "Eukaryotic small subunit ribosomal RNA", at positions 159 to 346 of the family's 1831-position model. The record is from Rfam by way of RNAcentral. Lineage: Eukaryota; Metazoa; Chordata; Mammalia; Rodentia; Sciuridae.